Pseudonaja textilis is the source of this 132-nucleotide non-coding RNA. Lineage: Eukaryota; Metazoa; Chordata; Lepidosauria; Squamata; Elapidae. The record is from RefSeq and is a predicted model, not a curated record.
CUUUGGAGAAUAGCUUGACUCCUUCUUCUUUGUGACAUCCCUCAAAUAUUACAAUACUGUUAUCAUGUCACCCCUAGUCCUUCUUUUCUCUAGACCAACCAUACCCGGUUCCUGCAACGAUUCUUCAUAUUU